CUUCAGUGAUGAUACGAUGACGAGUCAGAAAUGGAUGCCCUCUUGCUCAGAGCAAACAGCCCUGCGCCACGUUCUGUGGUGCUUUGCUGGUUAACUCUGACAAGGGUGCCCUAUUCACUGGAUGAGCUAGAGGCAUUUGUCUGAGAAGG
This is a small nucleolar RNA of Python bivittatus (Burmese python), 149 nucleotides long. The record is from RefSeq and is a predicted model, not a curated record. NCBI's taxonomy places the organism in Eukaryota, Metazoa, Chordata, Lepidosauria, Squamata, Pythonidae.